GGGGUGGUUGAUCCUGCCAGUAGUCAUAUGCUUGGUUCAAAGAUUAAGCCAUGCAUGUCUAAGUUUAAGACGUUACCGGGUUCGCUCGGUAAGCUUCCGAAACUGCACAUGGCUCAUUAAAUCGGUGGUAGUCCCUCACAAUCACGAUUCGUCGGCUUGUUCAGCGGCGUCUGUUUGGGUGGCAACACCUGGACGGGCGUCGUAUACGGGCAGGUCGGCGAGAUAUGGAUAUCUGUGGGAAUUCUAGAGCUAAUACAUGAAUUUUCCCACGCUCCUUGUCGGGCUAUGGGCAACCGUAGUUUGGCUUGGGCUCAAGCGUUCGUCUUUUUUAUAGCUGAGGGACUGCUAUCCAAGUAGUUGUUUCAAAUGAUUGAAUCCUGACGAACUUUAGCAAAUCGCAUAGAUGUUCCGACCGGCGUUCCUUCGGGGGCGUCGGAACAAUCGGGGCGGCGAUGGUUUGUAGGGUUUUCCGACUCAUCAGCCAUGUUGGUAAUCCAUGGGUUUACCAAGGCGUCGACGGGUGACGGAGGAUUGGGGUUUGAUCCCGGAGAGGGAGCCUGAGAGAUGGCUACCACUUCUAAGGAAGGCAGCAGGAUCGCAAAUUACCCAAUGCCAAAACGGUGAGGUAGUGACGAUCAAUAACGACGCGGACUCUCUAAGAGGGUCCGCGAUCGGAAUGAGCUCGCCUUAGAUGCUCGAGCAAGUAACGAUCGGAGGAAAAGUCUGGUGCCAGCACCCGCGGUAAUUCCAGCUCCGAUAGCAUAUAUUAAAGUUGCUGCAGUUAAAAAGCUCGUAGUUGGAACCGAGUACCGUGGUAGUUCCGCUCACCGCCGCGAGUGGUGUGGCGGACGCCCGGUUCAAAGCUGUCAGUGGGGCGGCGGUUGUAUGUGGCUUCGGUCAUGUGCAAUCGUCGUGGGGUCUCGGCCCCGACUCGCGCAGCUUACACCUGGAGCAAAUUAGGGUGUUCAGAGCAGGCGGCUCAUUCGAGCGCCUUGAAUAGGUCAGCGUGGGAUGUAAUCCGGCACCUACUGACUCUAAUCAAAGGCGGUUCUUCGGGGCCGUCGCAACUUCUACUUGUUGCUCAUCUCGGUGGCCAAGGGUCUCUCAGAGAGUAUUCAGUGGGAACGAUUGAUGGGGGUGGUCGGUGGCGUCGGUAUUUGCCCGUCAGAGGUGAAAUUCUUGGACCGGGCAAAGACCAUCAUCAGCGUAAGCACUCGCCAAGUACACCUCCCUCAAUCAAGAACGAAAGUCGGGGGAUCGAAGAUGAUCAGAUACCGUCGUAGUCCCGACCGCAAACGAUGCCAACCAGGGAUCAGGAGGCGUCGCAUGGACGGCCCUCCUGGCACCCCCGGGGAAACCUAGAGUCUUUGGGUUCCGGGGGGAGUAUGGUCGCAAGGCUGAAACUUAAAGGAAUUGACGGAAGGGCACCACCAGGCGUGGGGUUUGCGGCUUAAUUCGACUCAACACGGGAAACCUUACCAGGUCCGGACUCCGUAAGGAUUGACAGACUAAGGGACCUUUCUUGAUCCUGAGGGUGGUGGUGCAUGGCCGUUCUUGGUUGGUGGAGCGAUCCGUCAGGUCAAUUCCGUUAACGAACGAGGGUUCGACCCCCCAAAUAGUGGCAUGUCUGCCCUGCCAACUCGGGGUUCGUUUCUCUGCGGCGGGAUGUCAAACGGUUUC
This 1680-nucleotide ribosomal RNA is filed under the name Thecamoeba quadrilineata. Its description in RNAcentral is "SSU rRNA". It matches the Rfam family "Eukaryotic small subunit ribosomal RNA", at positions 1 to 1396 of the family's 1831-position model. Lineage: Eukaryota; Discosea; Longamoebia; Thecamoebida. The record is from RNAcentral.